AUGGCGGCUGCCGAUCCUUUCCGAUGCCGAGGAGUACAGUUUGUACAGGGGUUUGUCAAUCCUGGAUCUGGUCAACUAUUUGAUUCAGACAGAUCAUGGAGGCUGGUUCUCAUAUUUUGCUUGGUGAAUUCUUCAAUGCACAAUUUGCCAUGGCUGCUGAUCAGGCCCCUUGAGUCAUUCCAGUCCUACAAUGUUCAAAAAAUAUGUGUAAACAAAUUGAUGGCUAAAGUAGACCUGAAGGUCAAGGAAGCUAUCCUUAUAUAUUUAGAAUCCCAUCUAUGCAUACAUAUGUACCGGACCAUCUACGAUAUUCAUAAUAUGUGUCCUAAGACAACAAGCUAUACCAUGAUUAUCUAA
RNAcentral lists this ribosomal RNA (357 nucleotides) under Triticum aestivum (bread wheat). Its description in RNAcentral is "partial small subunit ribosomal RNA". The record is from RNAcentral. Lineage: Eukaryota; Viridiplantae; Streptophyta; Magnoliopsida; Poales; Poaceae.